AACGAACGCUGGCGGCAUGCCUAACACAUGCAAGUCGAACGAGACCUUCGGGUCUAGUGGCGCACGGGUGCGUAACGCGUGGGAAUCUGCCCUCAGGUACGGAAUAACUCAGGGAAACUUGAGCUAAUACCGUAUAAUGACUUCGGUCCAAAGAUUUAUCGCCUGGGGAUGAGCCCGCGUCGGAUUAGCUAGUUGGUGAGGUAAAGGCUCACCAAGGCGACGAUCCGUAGCUGGUCUGAGAGGAUGAUCAGCCACACUGGGACUGAGACACGGCCCAGACUCCUACGGGAGGCAGCAGUGGGGAAUAUUGGACAAUGGGCGCAAGCCUGAUCCAGCAAUGCCGCGUGAGUGAUGAAGGCCUUAGGGUUGUAAAGCUCUUUUACCCGGGAAGAUAAUGACUGUACCGGGAGAAUAAGCCCCGGCUAACCUCCGUGCCAGCAGCCGCGGUAAUACGGAGGGGGCGUAGCGUUGUUCGGAAUUACUGGGCGUAAAGCGCGCGUA
Molecule: ribosomal RNA, 501 nt
Filed under: uncultured bacterium
Lineage: Bacteria
Description: bacterial SSU rRNA
Rfam family: Bacterial small subunit ribosomal RNA
Source: RNAcentral